AGAACUUAGCAGAGAUGCUUUGGUGCCUUCGGGAACUCUGAGACAGGUGCUGCAUGGCUGUCGUCAGCUCGUGUUGUGAAAUGUUGGGUUAAGUCCCGCAACGAGCGCAACCCUUAUCCUUUGUUGCCAGCGGUCCGGCCGGGAACUCAAAGGAGACUGCCAGUGAUAAACUGGAGGAAGGUGGGGAUGACGUCAAGUCAUCAUGGCCCUUACGAGUAGGGCUACACACGUGCUACAAUGGCGCAUACAAAGAGAAGCGACCUCGCGAGAGCAAGCGGACCUCAUAAAGUGCGUCGUAGUCCGGAUUGGAGUCUGCAACUCGACUCCAUGAAGUCGGAAUCGCUAGUAAUCGUGGAUCAGAAUGCCACGGUGAAUACGUUCCCGGGCCUUGUACACACCGCCCGUCACACCAUGGGAGUGGGUUGCAAAGAAGUAGGUAGCUUAACCUUCGGGAGGGCGCUUACCACUUUGUGAUUCAUGACUGGGGUGAAGUCGUAACAAGGUAAGCGUAGUGCU
Molecule: ribosomal RNA, 516 nt
Filed under: uncultured bacterium
Lineage: Bacteria
Description: bacterial SSU rRNA
Rfam family: Bacterial small subunit ribosomal RNA
Source: RNAcentral